Molecule: ribosomal RNA, 253 nt
Filed under: uncultured bacterium
Lineage: Bacteria
Description: partial 16S ribosomal RNA
Rfam family: Bacterial small subunit ribosomal RNA
Source: RNAcentral
UACGUAGGGUGCAAGCGUUAAUCGGAAUUACUGGGCGUAAAGCGUGCGCAGGCGGUGAUGUAAGUCAGUGGUGAAAUCUCUGGGCUUAACCCGGAAACUGCCGUUGAUACUAUCUGUCUUGAAUGUAGUGGAGGUGAGCGGAAUAUGUCAUGUAGCGGUGAAAUGCUUAGAUAUGACAUAGAACACCCAUUGCGAAGGCAGCUCGCUGCACUAUUAUUGACACUGAGGCACGAAAGCGUGGGGAUCAAACAGG